GAACUCUAGAAUCGUCUAAAUGGUUACCGAAUUAUUCAGCUCUCUAAAUUGUAAUAUGAUUAGAGACUGUUUAAGAUUGUAAGUUGAUGUUUAAUUUGAUGGGAACAAAGAUAUGAUGUCUAGCUAAAGAUUUUUAUUAAAUUAUGAGCUUAAACUUUUCUUAGGUAUAGAUUUGGCAAAUAAUGAGUUUAAGUUUUUGAAAGUGAGUUUGUUGAGCAAAGAGUAACAAAUGAUAAUCGUUAAUUAUUGGUAUUGCUAUGUAAAGGAGGAUGGGCAUUUGAUUUGAUUGAUUUCCCGAUGGAUGGGCUUGUGGAUUGAAUGAAUAUA
Molecule: long non-coding RNA, 327 nt
Filed under: Jatropha curcas
Lineage: Eukaryota; Viridiplantae; Streptophyta; Magnoliopsida; Malpighiales; Euphorbiaceae
Description: long non-coding RNA (JCUR_LNC000798)
Source: RNAcentral